GAUGAACGCUGGCGGCGUGCCUAAUACAUGCAAGUCGAGCGAACAGAUAAGGAGCUUGCUCCUUUGACGUUAGCGGCGGACGGGUGAGUAACACGUGGGUAACCUACCUAUAAGACUGGGAUAACUUCGGGAAACCGGAGCUAAUACCGGAUAACAUUUGGAACCGCAUGGUUCUAAAGUGAAAGAUGGUUUUGCUAUCACUUAUAGAUGGACCCGCGCCGUAUUAGCUAGUUGGUAAGGUAACGGCUUACCAAGGCGACGAUACGUAGCCGACCUGAGAGGGUGAUCGGCCAAACUGGAACUGAGACACGGUCCAGACUCCUACGGGAGGCAGCAGUAGGGAAUCUUCCGCAAUGGGCGAAAGCCUGACGGAGCAACGCCGCGUGAGUGAUGAAGGGUUUCGGCUCGUAAAACUCUGUUAUUAGGGAAGAACAAAUGUGUAAGUAACUGUGCACGUCUUGACGGUACCUAAUCAGAAAGCCACGGCUAACUACGUG
RNAcentral lists this ribosomal RNA (497 nucleotides) under uncultured bacterium. Its description in RNAcentral is "partial 16S ribosomal RNA". It matches the Rfam family "Bacterial small subunit ribosomal RNA", at positions 28 to 507 of the family's 1533-position model. The record is from RNAcentral.